GUUUGGGUUAUACACUGUAUGUAGAGUUGCCAAUGGUUUGGGUUAUACACUGUAUGUAGAGGUGCCAAUGGUUUGGGUUAUACACUGUAUGUAGAGGUGCCAAUGGUUUGGGUUAUACACUGUAUGCAGAGUUGACAAUAGUUUAGGCUGUCUUCUGUAGAAGAGAUAGACAAUGGUUUGGGUUAUACACUGUAUGUAGAGUUGCCAAUGGUUUGGGUUAUACACUGUAUGUAGAGGUGCCAUUGGUUUGGGUUAUACACUGUAUGUAGAGUUGCCAAUGGUUUGGGUUAUACACUGUAUGUAGAGGUGCCAAUGGUUUGGGUUAUACACUGUAUGUAGAGGUGCCAAUGGUUUGGGUUAUACACUGUAUGUAGAGGUGCCAAUG
This is a long non-coding RNA of Astyanax mexicanus (Mexican tetra), 385 nucleotides long. RefSeq lists it as uncharacterized. The transcript is spliced from 4 exons. NCBI's taxonomy places the organism in Eukaryota, Metazoa, Chordata, Actinopteri, Characiformes, Acestrorhamphidae. The record is from RefSeq and is a predicted model, not a curated record.